GCCUGGCAUAGUGGCACAUGCCUGUAAUCCCAGCUAUUCAGCAGGCUGAGACAGCAGGAUCACUUGAAUCCAGGAGUUCUGGGCUGCAGUGAGCUAUGCUGAUUGGGUGUCUGCACUAGUUUGGUAUCAAUAUGGUGACCUCCCAGGAGCCGGGGACAACCAGGUUGCCUAAGGAGAGGUGAAGUGGCCCAGGUCAGAAAUGGAGCAGUUCAAAACUCCCAUGCUGAACAGUAGUGGUAUCACACCUGCGAAUAGCCAUUGCACUCCAGCCUGGGCAACAUACUGAGAACCUGUCUCU
RNAcentral lists this signal recognition particle RNA (298 nucleotides) under Jaculus jaculus (lesser Egyptian jerboa). Its description in RNAcentral is "Metazoan signal recognition particle RNA (ENSJJAG00000006147.1)". It matches the Rfam family "Metazoan signal recognition particle RNA". From Rfam's summary of the family: The signal recognition particle (SRP) is a universally conserved ribonucleoprotein. It is involved in the co-translational targeting of proteins to membranes. The record is from RNAcentral. Lineage: Eukaryota; Metazoa; Chordata; Mammalia; Rodentia; Dipodidae.